Molecule: transfer RNA, 74 nt
Filed under: Bradyrhizobium sp. ISRA426
Lineage: Bacteria; Pseudomonadati; Pseudomonadota; Alphaproteobacteria; Hyphomicrobiales; Nitrobacteraceae
Also listed under: 3 other names
Description: tRNA-Thr
Rfam family: tRNA
About the family: Transfer RNA (tRNA) molecules are approximately 80 nucleotides in length.
Source: RNAcentral
GCCCGCGUAGCGCACUGUAGAGCAGCCCCUUCGUAAGGGGCAGGUCGGGGGAUCAACCACUCCCGCGGGCUCCA